CGGCCACACACCCACACAGGAGCUUCCUCUAUGACUCACCAACCUACUCCCCGGGGAGUCUACACAGAACCCCCCUGCUUGAAGAACAGGAGGUGACAAUGGUCACCAGCGGACUCAUUGUCUAAGCAAAACCCUAUCUCUUUAGGCAAUUUACAUGGAAAUUGCUUCUGGAUUGUAACCUGGCUGCCCCUCACUCAUCCUGGAACAUUCUAGAACUCCUAACAUGUGCCAAUACUGAUAAUGAAGAAGGUUUUGAGAAAUCUCCUCUCUUUAAGGGCAAAGGUCUUUCCCAACUGAUUUCGAGGCCUCUGAAAUGAGACUGACCUGGGUUAAUUCCUGGUUCUGGGCUCUGCCUUGGACAAGUCACCUCCCUUCUCCAAGCCUCAGUUUCCACCUCCAUGCUGUGGGCAUAAAGAGAAAUAAAUGAGAAUCGUCUCAAACACGGUAUGAUAUUUUGAGAAAGAAGAUGUUCACCUGCGCUGCCUUAGUGAUGCUGAUUUUGAUCUCCUGGUGAAGGUUCUCCUUGAAAGAAACAAGUACUCUGUUAGGGGGCAUAUGAAGACCAGU
Long non-coding RNA from Rhinolophus ferrumequinum (greater horseshoe bat), 567 nucleotides. RefSeq lists it as uncharacterized. Lineage: Eukaryota; Metazoa; Chordata; Mammalia; Chiroptera; Rhinolophidae. The transcript has 4 exons. The record is from RefSeq and is a predicted model, not a curated record.